AUGGUUCUACAGUGAAAGACGGUCUUGCUGUCACUUAUAGAUGGACCCGCGCCGUAUUAGCUAGUUGGUGGGGUAACGGCCUACCAAGGCGACGAUACGUAGCCGACCUGAGAGGGUGAUCGGCCACACUGGAACUGAGACACGGUCCAGACUCCUACGGGAGGCAGCAGUAGGGAAUCUUCCGCAAUGGGCGAAAGCCUGACGGAGCAACGCCGCGUGAGUGAUGAAGGUCUUCGGAUCGUAAAGCUCUGUUGUUAGGGAAGAACAAAUGUGUAAGUAACUGUGCACAUCUUGACGGUACCUAACCAGAAAGCCACGGCUAACUACGUGCCAGCAGCCGCGGUAAUACGUAGGUGGCAAGCGUUAUCCGGAAUUAUUGGGCGUAAAGCGCGCGUAGGCGGUUUUUUAAGUCUGAUGUGAAAGCCCACGGCUCAACCGUGGAGGGUCAUUGGAAACUGGAAAACUUGAGUGCAGAAGAGGAAAGUGGAAUUCCAUGUGUAGCGGUGAAAUGCGCAGAGAUAUGGAGGAACACCAGUGGCGAAGGCGGCUUUCUGGUCUGCAACUGACGCUGAUGUGCGAAAGCGUGGGGAUCAAACAGGAUUAGAUACCCUGGUAGUCCACGCCGUAAACGA
RNAcentral lists this ribosomal RNA (632 nucleotides) under Staphylococcus pseudintermedius. RNAcentral describes it as "bacterial SSU rRNA". It matches the Rfam family "Bacterial small subunit ribosomal RNA", at positions 189 to 809 of the family's 1533-position model. Lineage: Bacteria; Bacillati; Bacillota; Bacilli; Caryophanales; Staphylococcaceae. The record is from RNAcentral.